Mesocricetus auratus (golden hamster) is the source of this 2749-nucleotide long non-coding RNA. RefSeq lists it as uncharacterized. The transcript is spliced from 2 exons. NCBI's taxonomy places the organism in Eukaryota, Metazoa, Chordata, Mammalia, Rodentia, Cricetidae. The record is from RefSeq and is a predicted model, not a curated record.
GUGUGUGUGUGUGUCUUUGUGUAUGUGUGUGUGUGCGCAUGUGUAUAGGUACACAUGUGUAUGUGUGUGUGUGUGUGUGUAUGUGUGUGUGUGUUACAGGCACACGUGUACGCAGAGGCCAGAGUAUGACCUUGUCCCUUUGGAGCUGUCCACCUUGUGUUUUGAGAGAAGAUCUCUAACUUGUCUGGAGCUCACCAAUUAGGCCAGCCUGGCGGGUCAAUGAACCCCAGACACCUGCUGUCGCUGUCACUCAGCACUGAUAUCAGAGACACACACCACCUUCCUGUGGCUUUGUUUGUGUUGAUGGUUUUUUUUUUUUUUUUUGCUGCCGUUGUUUAGUAGGUUCUGAGGAUCGAACUCAAGUCUUUUUGCACACUUGAACCAACAAGUGCUCAACUAGAAUUGGAUUGAAUACCCACUGUCUUCCCAACAGUGUGGACCCUGCGGAUGUUAACGCGUCUGAGGGCAGAAGAGACCAGCGUCUUCGUUCCCUCUGCCCCGUCUUCUUCAUCACAGACAGCAGGCCUUGACGUGUAAGUGCUCCAGCUCAACCCUGAACAUCUGUCUACUGGCUGGGACACGCGGUGAAGGCCAACACUCCAGCAUCACCGAGCUCAGUGUUCACAAACUGUGAGUAUAGUGUGGUUUCCUCGCAGAGCUGUGAUGCCAGCCUGAAGAGAUGGGAUGUGUGUUAAGCCCUCGCCGUAAAUGCCCACAAUCGCCACACACGCAUUCACGUGUGCAUACCCCGACACGCAGGCACGUAUACGCCGGUGACACUGGGCUGCUCUUUGGUGUCAGUGGACCAGGGCAAGCCCCGUAUGGGGACAGAUGGGUGGCAGCUGUCAUGUUCUCUAUCUAUACAGACGCUCCUCAAUUUAGGACGCCAGAUUUGUAGUUUCCUAACUUCGUGAUGGCGUGGGUUGCUACUUAUCUGCAACUCAUCUUGGGUGGAUGCUGUCUGAGACACUGGAGUCAGCGAGCAUGGGACUCCCUGUUGGCCAUAGAGCUACGAGGUCGGGUAACCGGUGUACUGUGUGUGCUGCUAAUAUGGGGUGCUCAUAAGUGAGGGGGUACGGUGGACAUCUUGACUGGCAGUAUUUUCAGCUUAUAAUUAAUUGAUUGGCAUGUAAACCCACCGUGAGUGGAGGAGUUACUGCCUGCAUUACUUUUCUCUUUGUAAAAUCUAUUUAUUUAUAUUAUCUAUCUGAGUCAGUGUCUCCAAUAUCCCAGGGUAGCCUUCAACACUUUUUGAACUUCUGGUCCACCUGCCUCCACUCUUUGAGCGCUGGGAUUACAGUCUUCUGUCCCCACGCUCCGCUAAUGAAUGGGGCGCUGGGGCUCGAACCCAGGGCUUCGCACUCGCUAAGUGUGCUCUACUACCAGCUGCGCUCUGCGUCCUCAGCCCCAGCACUGCCUUUCUCAGAGCUGGAGAACAGCGGGGCUGACAGACAACCCACUUCAGUGACGCGUCCCCUCCUGUCCGAAGCGACAGCUCAUCAAUGGGUUUCUCCGGUGCUUUGAACUUAGACAAUAUUUGCUGAAUGUCCGCCGCGCGCUCUUUGUGCAUCUGGCACCACGGAGGGCGAAGCCGACGUAGAAUAGCUCUUCACCCAAACGUCCACAGAAGCUGGAGGUCCUCAGCCGUGAAAACGCCAGCAGUUCCUGAAAGACGGAGACAACCCCCAGAUUGCAAACAGGACCCAGAAAAACAGGGCACAGGGGCAGCUGCCCCCAGAGCCAGGGUUUGAGUGCUUCCUACAGCGGAUAAAACUGUAGGGCAUAAGAACAGGGGUGCUGGAGCUAAGACCCUGUGCAUGGUGCUAAGAGCCCCCCCAAAAGCAGCACCAUCUGUGAAUGGGGAAAAGGUCCUCGGGAGAAGCUGGGACUUCAAGCAUAAGCCAGGGGUGUUUGUAAAUUAUAAACCAUCAACUGCGUGGCACAUUUUAUUUUUCGAGGCACUGGGGGUUGCACUCAGGGCCUCCCACAUCCUAAGUGAGCUGAUGAGUAAAGUCUUAAGUCUGACAGUUUCCACCAGCCUGGGCUUGGGUUGGUGUGGCCACUUCACAGAGGGCAACGCAGACCUGGCCCAAAGGGACGUUUCUGCAGCCUAGGCCACAAAGGAUGCCCCCGGAGAACAGACCCCAGAUUCAAGGGGAUCUCAUGACAACGAUGCGCAUGGAUAGAGACACGGCCUCAGGAGGGCCCAUCAGUGGACAGCUACAGUGGGACAGAGAAGGCACUGGGCCCGGUGGUGGGUCCUGGAGGAUGUCUGGAGUUACAGUCCUGCACAGUCCGCUCAGCAGCUGGCUGUGACCUCUGAUUCUAAGGGUAGGGGUGGCAGGAGAAGGUCUCUUCGAAGUAGCAGAGACAAAGGGUGACAAUAAUCUGGCCAAUGGCUGUCAAGGCCCAUAAAGAGGGCUCUGCUUCAUCUUGGCUCAAGGUCAGAGAGUUCGAAACUGUCCCUAGUAAGUCACAAAACCUAAAGGUCUAAGGCUUGGCUACUGCAGGAUGUCUUACCUAAAUAACAACAGACUUGGGCUGAGGUGUGGUUACUCUUGACCCUCUGGGUCAGCUAACAAGAAAUUGAGUCUGAGGUGUGGUUACCAAAUGCUUGGGGAGUUAAGGAAGAAAGUCUGUUUAUUCCUGUGUACAUGAUACCAUGUUCCCUCUUUUGGUUGGGAUAUUUAUGAACAUUGAAGAAUAAACUUGGGGCAUCCAUGUUCACUGGAUUGCCCUCCUGACUCUA